Molecule: long non-coding RNA, 484 nt
Organism: Mustela erminea (ermine)
Lineage: Eukaryota; Metazoa; Chordata; Mammalia; Carnivora; Mustelidae
Exons: 3
Source: RefSeq, a predicted model, not a curated record
GACACGCUGGGCUCUUCUUCAGUCCUGUUCCCGCGUGCAAGUGCAUGCUGCUCUCAGAAGGCAGAAUGUUGGGCACUGGUUUUUGUUUGUUUGUUUGUUUUUUUGGCGAGGUGGAUCUAUCAGGGAUGGUGGGACAGCUCAGUAGCUAAUACCCACUAAGAGAAAUUAAUGGCUUUUUUGAUCAUCGAACAAAAAGCUCUGGGCUGAGUCACGUCUCAGAAGUUCCAGACAGCCAUGGACUACAACAAGCAGAUGUCCAACAGGAAGAGAACAUCUGUGAUGCUCGUUUCCAAUGUUUCCAGUGCCGCAGGAUCCUGUCACCUGGCUGAGUGGUGGGGAACAAAGGCUGCCUGGAUUUGGCACCUCCAGCCAUUCUGUGGCUUUCCCUUCUCAAUAAACCUUUGACAAAGGUCGGGUGUUUGAAAGGCUGGCUUUUUCCUUGUUGGGUCUAAGCGUUUCUUGCUCAGCAGAGCGAUUCAUUGUC